AAUGAACGCUGGCGGCAGGCCUAACACAUGCAAGUCGAACGGGUCCUUCGGGACUAGUGGCGGACGGGUGAGUAACGCGUGGGAACAUACCCUUUGGUACGGAAUAGCCUCUGGAAACGGAGAGUAAUACCGUAUGUGCUCGUAAGAGGAAAGAUUUAUCGCCAAAGGAUUGGCCCGCGUUGGAUUAGGUAGUUGGUGGGGUAAUGGCCUACCAAGCCGACGAUCCAUAGCUGGUUUGAGAGGAUGAUCAGCCACACUGGGACUGAGACACGGCCCAGACUCCUACGGGAGGCAGCAGUGGGGAAUCUUAGACAAUGGGGGAAACCCUGAUCUAGCCAUGCCGCGUGAUCGAUGAAGGCCUUAGGGUUGUAAAGAUCUUUCAGUUGGGAAGAUAAUG
Molecule: ribosomal RNA, 397 nt
Filed under: bacterium R-23071
Lineage: Bacteria
Description: bacterial SSU rRNA
Rfam family: Bacterial small subunit ribosomal RNA
Source: RNAcentral